GUCUCCUGAAGGAACGUUGAAGACGACGACGUUGAUAGGCCGGGUGUGUAAGCGCAGCGAUGCGUUGAGCUAACCGGUACUAAUGAACCGUGAGGCUUAACCUUACACCGCCGAA
Molecule: ribosomal RNA, 115 nt
Filed under: Salmonella enterica
Lineage: Bacteria; Pseudomonadati; Pseudomonadota; Gammaproteobacteria; Enterobacterales; Enterobacteriaceae
Description: partial 23S ribosomal RNA
Rfam family: Bacterial large subunit ribosomal RNA
Source: RNAcentral